Cryptomeria japonica (Japanese cedar) is the source of this 443-nucleotide long non-coding RNA. RefSeq lists it as uncharacterized. The transcript is spliced from 2 exons. The record is from RefSeq and is a predicted model, not a curated record. NCBI's taxonomy places the organism in Eukaryota, Viridiplantae, Streptophyta, Pinopsida, Cupressales, Cupressaceae.
UGGGGCACAGCAUGAACUGCCCUUUUUCUUCUCACUUGAAUCCUUCAUCUUCUUUGCAUUUUCAUCAUGCUUUCCCUCUUCUUCAGGGAACACAUCAUUUGCAGCGGGCAAUUUGAAGCAACUCUGCACAAAUCCGAAUACACCCAUUUUGGAGAAUUAUAUUUAUACAGACGUUGAAGAUAGAGAUGAGAUGUAUUCCUCCAUCAUCAUCAUUUCGUUUAAAUUGCGUGGAAUGCACGCCAAGUUACAACAAGUAGAGGCCGUCAUGGAAUGCACGCCAAGUAGAAGCCGUCAACAAUUAAGCUGCCCACGUUUAUUGUGGGUAAUAACGAAGAAUUUUCCAGAAUAACAUUUGACUGAUAAAUGGUUUAAUUAUGCUGUUUGGUCAAACUGAUAAGCCCCGCAAUGAAUAAAUAACAAACAUGAGCAGAUUCGGCCGCAUU